RNAcentral lists this long non-coding RNA (3442 nucleotides) under Mus musculus (house mouse). Its description in RNAcentral is "long non-coding RNA chr7:92056442-92059884". The record is from RNAcentral. Lineage: Eukaryota; Metazoa; Chordata; Mammalia; Rodentia; Muridae.
GCUUUGGCUUUGGUUUUGGUUUUGGUUUUGGUUUUGGUUUUGGUUUUGGUUUUGGUUUUGGUUUUGGUUUUGGCUUUGGUUUUGGUUUUGGUUUUAGGCUUUAGUAUGUGUCUGUCCUAUUUUUCCAGUAUCAUUUUAUAAAGAUAUUCUGAUCCAAGAAAUAACUUUUUUCCACCUGUCCUCUGCUGUGGAUUUCUGGGCAUCUUCAGUUCCAUUCUUUUGGUUUUUAUUCUUGGCAAGCAUCACAAUGUCUUGACUGAUGCAGCUUCUUUGUUAAUCUUUGAAUCAGUGAUAUCAGUCUCCCAACUUUAUCCUUUUUUCAAUGUUUUAUUUACUCCUUUGUAUUUUUCUAGGUUUCCAUAUUCAUUUUAAAAUUGGUUUGUUUAUAUCCAUAAAAUAACUUGCUGGAAUUUUUAUUGAGUUUGUACUGAACCAAUAAAAUAAAUGAGACUACACUGAGUAUUCUUAAUAAAUCUGAAAUAACCCUUCCAUUUAUUUAUUUCUUUGUGGUUUUUUAUUAGAGUUUUAUAGUUUUGCUUAUGAAAAUUUUGUACCUAUUUCCAUGUAUUUGUACAAAACUACUUUAUAUUAACGUACAUGCUAGAUGAUAUUAUGGUUCCCAUUUCUCUUUAUUUUUCUAGUAUAUGAGAAAAUGAUUGGGUCUUAUGUACUAACCUUGUAUCCAAAAACCAUGUUGAAAUUGCUUACUAGUUUCUGAUUUGAGUGGAGUACUGAGUUUAGUUUUGCUGUUCCUUUGAAAUUUCCAUAUAGAAAAUUACAUAAUCCAUAAACAAAGACAUUUAUAGACAAAGUUUUGUUUCUCCUUGCCAAGCCCAUUAACUCUCAAUUUAAAUUUCUAAGCUUAUUUAAUUAUCUAGACUUUCCUUGGUACUAUAGAGAAGUAGUUGAAGUAGCAUCUCUGCCUUCCUCUUAGUAGGAAAGUUUUGAGUUUCUCACCAUGAGUUGUAGAUAUUUUGUAAUUGUUUUUAUGGUCAAAUUGAAAAAGUUCCUCUGUUCCCUGUUUAACUGAGAGCUGUUUUCACAAAUACCUGUCAACUGUAUACACUUGUGUCAUAUGCAGCUUAAGGCAUGAAUAAGACUUUAAGUAAUCAAAGGGUCAAAAGAAAAUCCAAGUCUACAAAUAAAUGAUUAUUGUUGUCAUGGUUACAACCUUAACAUUCUGAUACACAUACCUCUUUAUUAUAAACUCCUGGGAAGCAAAAACUAUCAGCUUUAAGCAUUAUAAAGCACUCCUGAAACUAUAACAUUCUCUCAGUUGAUAUUUAUUCAGAAAAUGAAGAGAGAAAGUAUGGUAACUAGGACAGUUACUAUAUGAGACUAGUGCAAUGGAAUUCCAGGAAAGCUAAUGUUAAGGAGCACGAAGGAAAAUGAAUGCUCAUAUACCAAUUAAGGGCACAGGAAUACUCUCUAAGUAUACAAAAGGGACUACAACUACAAUGCAAAUAAAUACAAAUAGAAUUACAAUUAUAAUUACAAUCACAGAUGGGAAAAUAACACUAGAAAAGGCCAACAGAGGGAGAGUCAGGGCUUUGAGGAAAAAAUAGUAAUUUAACUAAAGUCAAGAACUUUCAAUAAAAUCACCAUUUAGACUAUUUCUAUGUAUCAGAACAGUGAGGCUCUGAAUAUUUGUUAGAGGAAAGUGCUGUGUUCAUGCCAGUGUCCAAAGCUGAUGCUAAAAUGCCACCAUAUAAAGACAGAAAGCUGAUCCAAGAUUUUAAGAAUGGCAUACCCAAGAGAGCCUUGAGGCAGCUUUAGUUCUAAAGGUAGAUAUUUGGGCAAAAGUAGGUCAAUGAGAGAAAUGAAGUUUCCCUAUUGGAAAAAUCUGAAUGUGAACCACUAACCUGGAGCUACUUUGCUUAAUGAGGAAAGGGGAAGCACUAGAAAAUUCAUGAGUUAACUACUCACUAUAUACAGAUUUCUGGAGAAUUAUUAAGUAAUUAGAACUGGCAGCAAGAAAAGGCUGCAAGAACAUUUUCACAAGACAAUAAGUAAAUAUCCCCAGAAAAGACAGUUGAAUGAUGCUUCAACCACAAGUUUCAAGGAUCCCACAAAGGUUAGAGGUUAGUGAAAUAUUUGUAUAUCUCUAUAUUUUAUCACUGAAGGUGAAUUACAUCCAUUCAUUGUAGCUAACAGUGAAUGUAUUUAUGUUAGUGUGCUGUAAUUUUUUUCUGUAAUAAUUCUUCAGACACCGUAAGUACGUAGGAACUUCUGAAAUUCUAUUAGCAAGGUUUAUGGGAAGUCUUGCCAUUUGAAUAGCCACUGCCCAAGCACCUGAUGACAGUUACCAAAUAGCACUAAUAUUUCAAUUUAGUAGCUACCAAAAAAAAGGUAAAAUUAAUUGCCUUUUACUCCAGAACAGCUUUCUAAAUUGACAGGUCCUGGAGUUGGAUCAAGCCCAGUGACACCUGACCCUCCCCCUUUCAUUGGUUUGGAUAACCACCAAGUCAAUGGACUGGAUUCCUAAAGCUGUUGUCGUUGCUGUGACAAACCAUCUCUAACUAGGUGGCUUAAAACAAUAGAGAGUGAUUUUUGUGUGUGUGUCUCUAAGUACUACAGUCUAAAACCAUAGUGUCAGAAAACCAUAGCCCCUCUGAAACUGUUGUGGAAUCUUUUCCUGCAUCUUUCUACAUUGUGAUGGAUUGCUGGCAAUUUUAAAUGUUCCUUGGCUUGCAUCUGUGUAGCUCCCCUCACUUCUCUCAUUACACAGCAUGUUUUGGUGUAGCACUCAAUUUCCCUGAAUGUUUUCUUUUAAGGAGUCUGGUCAGAUUGGAUAAGCAGAUCACUCAACUCCAUCAUGACCACUUUUUAAUAUGUUUACAAUUGAGUCUAUUUCUUCAUCUGUCACAUUCUGAGCUAUUGAGGGGCCGGGACUGAAAGAUAUUUUAUAGGACAGAUCAAUAGGCAACCCAAAGCAUAAACAUCUCAGCAACAAAGACUUCUUAUGUCACUUCCUAUGUCCCAACCUCAGCCAGGCCUAGCCCAGCAGUAUUUGUUGAAUGAAGAGCUCUGCUCUGUUUGCUGGAGACAUGAGAAUUGAGUCUCUAUAUUCUUCAAGGGCGUUCUCCUGGUCUAGCUUCUUCCUCCAGGGCUCCACCACAGUUCCUCUAUAACCCUUUAAUCCAGUCAUGUGUGAGAACUUACCUUUUCUCAAACUUCAUUUAUUCUCUCAGAGCUGCCUUUCCAUAUUCAUGAAACAUCCUUCCACUUACAGUCUGUGUCAAACUGGUGCUCUCUUCUUUGUUAGAAUGUGUAUCUAAAAUGUGGUGAAGUGAUGGGUGUAAUUAUAGCACAAUUUGUUAUUUCUAUGUACUCUCUAUUCCCUCAAAGUUAGAGUCCAUGACAUCAGGAGUUAAACUGCAUUUAUAAUUAUAUUUCUACCAUCAAGCACAACACCAAGAGUUGAUUUAUCUUGAAACUCUAC